Molecule: ribosomal RNA, 231 nt
Filed under: Clostridioides difficile
Lineage: Bacteria; Bacillati; Bacillota; Clostridia; Peptostreptococcales; Peptostreptococcaceae
Description: partial 23S ribosomal RNA
Rfam family: Bacterial large subunit ribosomal RNA
Source: RNAcentral
UUGAGAAGACCUGUCCUUAGUACGAGAGGACCGGGAUGGACGUACCUCUGGUGUACCAGUUGUCCUGCCAAGGGCAUGGCUGGGUAGCUAUGUACGGAAUGGAGAAGCGCUGAAAGCAUCUAAGCGCGAAGCCAACUUCAAGAUAAGAUUUCCCACCGCAAGGGUAAGACCCCAGAAAGACUAUCUGGUUGAUAGGUCGAAGGUGUAAGUGCAGCAAUGUAUUUAGCUUAU